Micropterus dolomieu (smallmouth bass) is the source of this 1059-nucleotide long non-coding RNA. RefSeq lists it as uncharacterized. The record is from RefSeq and is a predicted model, not a curated record. Lineage: Eukaryota; Metazoa; Chordata; Actinopteri; Centrarchiformes; Centrarchidae. The transcript has 3 exons.
CUUAAGACAGUUAUCUACAUGCUCAUCCUGAAGACACUACAGGUGCACACAGAGACAGCAUCACGUAGACGGACUGAAAAACGUUGAGCCACUGGAUGGUUACAGCACAACAGGACCCAAAUGCAGGAACCAGGUUGGAGUCUGAGGACUUGGCUUGACAGCGAGCAGAAACAUGCAUGCAGAAAACAGGUGCCACAUAUUCACACACGGCAAUGCUGGACCUCCCACACAAGGACAUCGGUUUCCUCUUGAGAGAAGCUUUUGUAGUUAAUCCACUCCCAACUGUUCUCUGUAUCACAGAGCGUGCUCCAUGAAGCAGAAAGCAAUCUUUCAGAAAAGAAAGGGAAAAAAGAGCUGAUUUGAUUGAUGAUGACUGACGUGAGCCUCUACCACAUCCUGAUAAUAUAUUUCUCAUAAUCACACCCCGUUUCCAACUGCACUUCAGUUGUGCCACAUGCCUCUAGCAAUGAAAUAUCCGAAAGUCAGCUGCCCCAGCGUGAGUGCAGCACUCUGCACCACUGACUCUUUAGAACAGAGCCCAGAGACACCAAUUUGUCCGUCGACAACAGCCACAAUAUACCAAAAUAUAAUACAGUGUUUUGAGUAAUGCCUGCUAUUCACACAUUUCUCUCAUUCUGUUUCCCUUAAAUUUAUGAUUCUCCUGCUCUCUUGAUAUUGCUGUUGCUCUCUUCACCAAAAUAAGUGCAACAAGUUCUCAUCCUAUCUGUGAGUCAUGCUGAAAGGCAUUCUGGGAAAUCAUUAAGAGGAAGAUGUUUACACCGUGUCCCAAUUCAGUUCUAAAAACUAAACUAUAAAAUCCUGUAUGCACCAAUACAGUGCAUGAUUUUGGCAAUUAGCUGAGUGUGAAAGAAAUGCUUGUAUUUUUAUCAUGUACUAACUGUGCUUCUGUGAGCAGAUGUGUAGGUAAAAAGCACAAGAACAAGAUGUGUUAUUGGUUAGCUUCAGGCAGAAAAACAAUUUGGUUAGGUUUAGAAAAACACUGAUUUGGAUUAAAAUCACUACUUUGUUGAGGUAAGGUGUUACGGUUCCCAGGGAUAA